CUCACCCCUCCUUGCCAAAUCCGCCUAUAUACCGCCGUCGUCAGCUUACCCUGCGAAGGAUCAAUAGUAAGCAAAACUGGCACAGCCCAAGACGUCAGGUCGAGGUGUAGCAAAUGGAGGGGGAAGAGAUGGGCUACAUUCCCUUUGUACAGGGCAUACGAAUGAUCACACUGAAACGUGUAUCUGAAGGAGGAUUUAGCAGUAAGCAGGAAGCAGAGAGUCCUACUGAAACCGGCCCUGAAGCGCGCACAUACCGCCCGUCACUCUCCCCGAACUCGUUCAUGCCCAUAACUAAUACCCUAUUUAAAAUAGAGGGGAGGCAAGUCGUAACAUGGUAAGUGUACCGGAAGGUGCACUUGGCAAAAC
This 366-nucleotide ribosomal RNA is filed under the name Drepane punctata (spotted sicklefish). RNAcentral's name for it is "partial 12S ribosomal RNA". It matches the Rfam family "Bacterial small subunit ribosomal RNA", at positions 970 to 1527 of the family's 1533-position model. The record is from RNAcentral. Lineage: Eukaryota; Metazoa; Chordata; Actinopteri; Ephippiformes; Drepaneidae.